UAUUUAAGCUGAAUGCAUUGUGAUUUCCAGUAAUUGAGACAGUGAUUCUGAAAGCUGUCCACAUUAAUGAAAAGAGCAAUGUAGUCAGCUUAACUG
Molecule: microRNA precursor, 96 nt
Organism: Notechis scutatus (mainland tiger snake)
Lineage: Eukaryota; Metazoa; Chordata; Lepidosauria; Squamata; Elapidae
Source: Ensembl